GAUGAACGCUGGCGGCGUGCCUAAUACAUGCAAGUCGAGCGAACAGACGAGGAGCUUGCUCCUCUGACGUUAGCGGCGGACGGGUGAGUAACACGUGGAUAACCUACCUAUAAGACUGGGAUAACUUCGGGAAACCGGAGCUAAUACCGGAUAAUAUAUUGAACCGCAUGGUUCAAUAGUGAAAGACGGUUUUGCUGUCACUUAUAGAUGGAUCCGCGCCGCAUUAGCUAGUUGGUAAGGUAACGGCUUACCAAGGCAACGAUGCGUAGCCGACCUGAGAGGGUGAUCGGCCACACUGGAACUGAGACACGGUCCAGACUCCUAUGGGAGGCAGCAGUAGGGAAUCUUCCGCAAUGGGCGAAAGCUUGACGGAGCAACGCCGCGUGAGUGAUGAAGGUCUUCGGAUCGUAAAACUCUGUUAUUAGGGAAGAACAAAUGUGUAAGUAACUAUGCACGUCUUGACGGUACCUAAUCAGAAAGCCACGGCUAACUACGUG
This 497-nucleotide ribosomal RNA is filed under the name uncultured bacterium. RNAcentral describes it as "partial 16S ribosomal RNA". It matches the Rfam family "Bacterial small subunit ribosomal RNA", at positions 28 to 507 of the family's 1533-position model. The record is from RNAcentral.